Molecule: ribosomal RNA, 1372 nt
Filed under: uncultured bacterium
Lineage: Bacteria
Description: bacterial SSU rRNA
Rfam family: Bacterial small subunit ribosomal RNA
Source: RNAcentral
GAUGAACGCUGGCUUCGUGCCUAAUACAUGCAAGUCGAGCGAACGGACGAGAAGCUUGCUUCUCUGAUGUUAGCGGCGGACGGGUGAGUAACACGUGGAUAACCUACCUAUAAGACUGGGAUAACUUCGGGAAACCGGAGCUAAUACCGGAUAAUAUUUUGAACCGCAUGGUUCAAAAGUGAAAGACGGUCUUGCUGUCACUUAUAGAUGGAUCCGCGCUGCAUUAGCUAGUUGGUAAGGUAACGGCUUACCAAGGCAACGAUGCAUAGCCGACCUGAGAGGGUGAUCGGCCACACUGGAACUGAGACACGGUCCAGACUCCUACGGGAGGCAGCAGUAGGGAAUCUUCCGCAAUGGGCGAAAGCCUGACGGAGCAACGCCGCGUGAGUGAUGAAGGUCUUCGGAUCGUAAAACUCUGUUAUUAGGGAAGAACAUAUGUGUAAGUAACUGUGCACAUCUUGACGGUACCUAAUCAGAAAGCCACGGCUAACUACGUGCCAGCAGCCGCGGUAAUACGUAGGUGGCAAGCGUUAUCCGGAAUUAUUGGGCGUAAAGCGCGCGUAGGCGGUUUUUUAAGUCUGAUGUGAAAGCCCACGGCUCAACCGUGGAGGGUCAUUGGAAACUGGAAAACUUGAGUGCAGAAGAGGAAAGUGGAAUUCCAUGUGUAGCGGUGAAAUGCGCAGAGAUAUGGAGGAACACCAGUGGCGAAGGCGACUUUCUGGUCUGUAACUGACGCUGAUGUGCGAAAGCGUGGGGAUCAAACAGGAUUAGAUACCCUGGUAGUCCACGCCGUAAACGAUGAGUGCUAAGUGUUAGGGGGUUUCCGCCCCUUAGUGCUGCAGCUAACGCAUUAAGCACUCCGCCUGGGGAGUACGACCGCAAGGUUGAAACUCAAAGGAAUUGACGGGGACCCGCACAAGCGGUGGAGCAUGUGGUUUAAUUCGAAGCAACGCGAAGAACCUUACCAAAUCUUGACAUCCUUUGACAACUCUAGAGAUAGAGCUUUCCCCUUCGGGGGACAAAGUGACAGGUGGUGCAUGGUUGUCGUCAGCUCGUGUCGUGAGAUGUUGGGUUAAGUCCCGCAACGAGCGCAACCCUUAAGCUUAGUUGCCAUCAUUAAGUUGGGCACUCUAAGUUGACUGCCGGUGACAAACCGGAGGAAGGUGGGGAUGACGUCAAAUCAUCAUGCCCCUUAUGAUUUGGGCUACACACGUGCUACAAUGGACAAUACAAAGGGCAGCGAAACCGCGAGGUCAAGCAAAUCCCAUAAAGUUGUUCUCAGUUCGGAUUGUAGUCUGCAACUCGACUACAUGAAGCUGGAAUCGCUAGUAAUCGUAGAUCAGCAUGCUACGGUGAAUACGUUCCCGGGUCU